CUUUCUCCCACACCAGAGAACUGACCCUCAAAAGAAAUCCUGUAAAGCCAAGGAAACUGCCGGCUUCCAGCCCUGCAGUUUUAUUUAAUUAGGGUAGAAACCUGCAGAAAGACUUCCCGAAUAGGAAAACCCACCAGAGCUGCAGUUUUCAGACUGGGUGGCAAAAUCAGUGGGACAAGGAGCAUUAGGAAAGGAAGAAGAAAGGAAAGAAGGAAGAAGCUGGAACAAAAGAGAAUGCAACGAUACCACCUAGGAGAAUCGGGAUUCUUUCCUGAAACUCGAAUCAUAAAAAGAAUACGGUGUGUUGUACAUUUGGAAUCGAGGUGUUGAAUACACGUCUUACUCGGGUUGCUGUCAAAAAAUGUUUGAAAGCCACUGGCCUGGACUUUUUCUUUUUCUUUCUUUUGAAUGCUUAGAGUAGAAAGGUUUGAAAAGCCAUCUAAUUUAUUUCUCUACGCCUAGACAGUAUUUCAUUUUAAGAACAGUACAGACUUUAAUUAUUUUCUUGCUUAUCGUCCCAUCUCAGCAUUUGCGCCUGAUGAUUUGUGAAUAAUUUGUCUCUUUAAAGCUAUUAUUUCAGUUGGGAAAGCGAUAAAUUAAAAUAGGAAGGCAAUUCUGCCAAGCUUCCCUUCUCUGUCUCCUCUUCUCCCCGUCAUCAGGCCGUGGACACAUUCCAAAUGCGCUGCGGGCCAAGCCUGGCAGGGUCCCCGAGCCCGCCUUCUGUCGCCCUGUCCUGUAAUCAAAUACCCCAGUGGAGCUACGGGUGGUUGUUUUGUAUUGAGGAUUGAACCCAGGGCCUUUGCACUGAAUUACUUACACCCUCAGCCCUUUUUAGUUUUCAUUUUGAGACAGGGUCUUGCCAAAUUGCCUGGCUGGGACUCCAACUUGCAGUCUUUCUGCCUCAGCCUCCCAGAGUGCAGAGCAUACAGGCUUAUACCACCACACCUUUUGUUUGUUUGUUCUUUGGUAUUAGGGAAUUGAACUCAGGACCUUGCACUUGCGAAGCAGGGCAGUACCACUGAGCUAAGUCCCCUAAGUCCCCGGCUUAAUGUUCCUUUUUUGAGUUCAAGUUCCACUAUGAAGUUCAACUUGGCCUUGAACUUGCUAUUGUACCUAGGCUGUCCUUGAACUCUCUAUCCUCCUGCUUCAGCCUCCCAAGGCAUAGGAAUACAGGUAUAUACCACCACCUCUGGCAAAUUUUAGUAUUUCUUUAUCUCAUUCCCUCUUUUUACUUAUUUUUUAAAAAAUUAUCCCCAUGGAUAGGUAAUAGAAACACCUGAUGUACUUGAAUUUGACUUUGUCCCUUCUCAGUAGGGUAGGUCCCUGUUGUGCUAAUCAGGG
Molecule: long non-coding RNA, 1341 nt
Filed under: Heterocephalus glaber (naked mole-rat)
Lineage: Eukaryota; Metazoa; Chordata; Mammalia; Rodentia; Bathyergidae
Description: lncRNA (ENSHGLG00100032924.1)
Source: RNAcentral